GCGCUCGUGGCGAAAUGGCAGACGCGCUAGUUUCAGGUACUAGUGGUUAACACCGUGGAGGUUCGACUCCUCUCGAGCGCA
This 81-nucleotide transfer RNA is filed under the name Verrucomicrobiales bacterium. RNAcentral's name for it is "tRNA-Leu". It matches the Rfam family "tRNA". From Rfam's summary of the family: Transfer RNA (tRNA) molecules are approximately 80 nucleotides in length. Lineage: Bacteria; Pseudomonadati; Verrucomicrobiota; Verrucomicrobiia; Verrucomicrobiales. The record is from RNAcentral.